AAAAAAACAAACUCUGAGUUUCCGUGUCCAACGUUUGACCAUCCGUCUUAUUUGAAAAAAUCAAAAAGACAAGUCACAUAUAAAGUAUUAAUCAUGUUUUACCACCUAACAACAAUAAAAAUACUAAUUAUAAAAAAAUUCAUAUAAGACGGAUAAUCAAAUGUUGGAUACGGAAACCCAGGUUUAUCUUUUUU
RNAcentral lists this microRNA precursor (194 nucleotides) under Oryza rufipogon (brownbeard rice). RNAcentral describes it as "MIR812 microRNA precursor family". It matches the Rfam family "MIR812 microRNA precursor family". The record is from Rfam by way of RNAcentral. Lineage: Eukaryota; Viridiplantae; Streptophyta; Magnoliopsida; Poales; Poaceae.